This is a long non-coding RNA of Apteryx haastii (Great spotted kiwi), 808 nucleotides long. Lineage: Eukaryota; Metazoa; Chordata; Aves; Apterygiformes; Apterygidae. The record is from Ensembl.
AUGGGGGGUAAAGGGGUGGCAGAACAGAGAAAACUUUGGGAGGAGGCAGGUUCCAAAAAUAUCCAUGAUCAUGGACCCAGGAGGCCCUCAGGAAACCCUCUAAGUGCUUACUUGCCUCUCUCUCUCUCUCUCUCUCUCUCCACUGCAGAAUGGCUUCGAGUCCCCAGCCAUCUAUGUGAGUAUUGCAAGAGACCAGGACCUCCAUCACAACAGGAGCUAACAGGCAGUCCUCCUUUCCCUGGGCUCCCAAGCAGGAAGAAAAUCAGGAGCCAUCCCUUCCCUGAGGAACCCGCCCUAGGCCUGAGCCAUAUCUGCUGCCUUGGGCUGGAGAGGGUGUGGGAAAGAUGUGUGUGGGGUGUGUGUGUGGGGGGGGAGUGUCUCGGGAAUAUCCGUCCCUGUCCUGCUCCAGCCCCUGUCCCCAGGGUGUAUCCUCUUCCUCCUCAAAAUGGCUCCCACAUGACCUGGGCUCCUUCCUCUGCUGCAGACUCAGGGCCCUGGACAAUCUGGGAGAGACUGAGGUGUAGUGGGGGGAAGAUGUGGUGGUGGGAGCAGAGCAGGACUCAGGUAACCCUCAUUCUCUCUGUUUUUCAGGAACCUCUGGGUGCCUCAGGCAACCAUGAGAGCUUCGACUGGAACAGGGUCGGCCACAACAGCUUCAAUGACAACGGGGACUCCUGAGAAGUUUCACACCUGCUGAUUUCCCCCAUCAUCCCAAAUCUGCCUGGUCAUUGAAGAAUUUUGCUUAAAGAAUGCAAAGACCCCACGUCUUCUCCCUGGUGCACUGCAAAUAAACCUGGAUCUUACACCA